Molecule: non-coding RNA, 372 nt
Organism: Equus quagga
Lineage: Eukaryota; Metazoa; Chordata; Mammalia; Perissodactyla; Equidae
Source: the annotation of a RefSeq genome assembly
AUGGCCUGGUCCCCUCUCCUCACCCUCAUCGCUCUCUACACAGCAUCCUGGGCCCAGUGUGUGACUCAGCCCGCCUCAGUGUCUGGGACCCUGGGCUCGACAGUCACCAUCUCCUGCUCUGGAAGCAGCAGCAACAUUGGUGGUUAUGGUGUUGGCUGGUUCCAACAGAUCCAAGGAAAAGCCCCCAAAACCAUCAUCUCUGCUAAUAACAAACAACCCUCAGGGAUCCCAGAUCGAUUUUCUGGCUCCAAGUCUGGCAACACAACCACCCUGACCAUCUCUGGGCUCCAGGCUGACGACGAGGCCGAUUAUUACUGUGGUACCUAUGACAGCAGCCUGAGUAAUGACACAGUGCUGCAUGCCUGUGGGGAA